This 440-nucleotide ribosomal RNA is filed under the name uncultured bacterium. Its description in RNAcentral is "partial 16S ribosomal RNA". It matches the Rfam family "Bacterial small subunit ribosomal RNA", at positions 338 to 795 of the family's 1533-position model. The record is from RNAcentral.
CCUACGGGUGGCAGCAGUGGGGAAUAUUGCACAAUGGGGGAAACCCUGAUGCAGCGACGCCGCGUGAGUGAAGAAGUAUUUCGGUAUGUAAAGCUCUAUCAGCAGGGAAGAAAAUGACGGUACCUGAUUAAGAAGUCCCGGCCAACUACGUGCCAGCAGCCGCGGUAAUACGUAGGGGGCAAGCGUUAGCCGGAUUUACUGGGUGUAAAGGGAGCGUAGACGGUGAUGCAAGUCAGAAGUGAAAGCCCGGGGCUCAAAUCCGGGAAUGCUUUUGAAACUGUGUAACGGGAGUGCAGGAGAGGAGAGCGGAAUUACAGGUGUAGCGGUGAAAUGAGUAGAUAUCAGGAGGAACACCAGUGGCGAAGGCGGCUUACUGGACUGUAACUGACGUUGAGGCUCGAAAGCGUGGGGAGCAAACAGGAUUAGAUACCCGAGUAGUC